GACGAACGCUGGCGGCGUGCUUAACACAUGCAAGUCGAACGGAAAGGCCCUGCUUUUGUGGGGUGCUCGAGUGGCGAACGGGUGAGUAACACGUGAGUAACCUGCCCUUGACUUUGGGAUAACUUCAGGAAACUGGGGCUAAUACCGGAUAGGAGCUCCUGCUGCAUGGUGGGGGUUGGAAAGUUUCGGCGGUUGGGGAUGGACUCGCGGCUUAUCAGCUUGUUGGUGGGGUAGUGGCUUACCAAGGCUUUGACGGGUAGCCGGCCUGAGAGGGUGACAGGCCACAUUGGGACUGAGAUACGGCACAGACUCCUACGGGAGGCAGCAGUGGGGAAUAUUGCACAAUGGGCGGAAGCCUGAUGCAGCAACGCCGCGUGCGGGAUGACGGCCUUCGGGUUGUAAACCGCUUUCGCCUGUGACGAAGCGUGAGUGACGGUAAUGGGUAAAGAAGCACCGGCUAACUACGUG
This 468-nucleotide ribosomal RNA is filed under the name uncultured bacterium. RNAcentral describes it as "partial 16S ribosomal RNA". It matches the Rfam family "Bacterial small subunit ribosomal RNA", at positions 28 to 507 of the family's 1533-position model. The record is from RNAcentral.